RNAcentral lists this ribosomal RNA (253 nucleotides) under uncultured bacterium. Its description in RNAcentral is "partial 16S ribosomal RNA". It matches the Rfam family "Bacterial small subunit ribosomal RNA", at positions 524 to 776 of the family's 1533-position model. The record is from RNAcentral.
GACGAACCGUGCGAACGUUGUUCGGAUUCACUGGGCUUAAAGGGCGCGUAGGCGGGUAACCAAGUCCGGGGUGAAAGCCUCCAGCUUAACUGGAGAAGUGCCUCGGAUACUGGUCGUCUCGAGGAGGGUAGGGGCAUCUGGAACUAGCGGUGGAGCGGUGAAAUGCGCAGAUAUCGGGAGGAACACCAAUUGCGAAGGCAGCUCGCUGGGACGUCACUGACGCUGAGACGCGAAAGCGUGGGGAGCAAACAGG